Molecule: long non-coding RNA, 2639 nt
Filed under: Canis lupus familiaris (dog)
Lineage: Eukaryota; Metazoa; Chordata; Mammalia; Carnivora; Canidae
Description: lncRNA (ENSCAFG00040020963.1)
Source: RNAcentral
AUGGUCACAAGGAAAGCUGAGAAGUCAGUUUUUUCCAGCCUUUUUAGUGAAAGGAGACAGAAGGAGGGGGGUGGAAAUUGCUGUGGGUCAUUCAACCAACAGUACCUGCCACACACAGAUUCUUCCCUUCUCAUCUCCUUUGCCUCCAUAAGAUCAUUAUUCCCAAGAAAUUCAUCUGCCUGUGCUCUUCCCAUCUGCCCUAAUGUUUUGUCCCUCAUCCAUUCCCACAUCCCUAUUCUUUUCAUUAUCUGUCUCCGUCCACUCCAUCAUUGGCAUAGUGCAAUGCUAUUAGUAGACCUACGUAAAAAGGGAAGAAUAACAGUAGCAAAAGCUAGGUAGGAUACAGGGAACUUAAUUCCCAGUUUGAGCAUUUAGGGAGGGGGAUGUUCAUGGAAGAUAUGUUAUUAUUUGCCUUUCUUUGACUUACCAAGUUACCAAGAUUUUCCCCUUGUGUUAUGCCUCACAGCAUCAGUGUAGGGGAAAUUCAUUACUUAUGCCACUUCAGGAAUGCCCAUGUUACUUGAAAUUUGAACACGAGUAGACUUCCAUAGUACCUUUAUAGUAUACUUGUACAUACUCAUACAAAUGUAUACUUUUGUAGCAUACAGAAAGCAGCAGAAAUACUCUUAAAUCCUUCAUCUAAGGGAAAUCCAACAGCCUUCAUACUCCAAAGGAAUGUAGUCAUCUUACUGAAGAUGAAGGAAGAGAGAUUUGGCAUCUCUAAGCUUAUAUGAGGCUGUUGCUAUGUCCAAAGGCAGGUGAAUAUCUUACAGUGAAUUUCUUCACAAUAUAUAUGGCAUACCACCCAAUCUCAAAGGCAAGUUCAAAUCUUGCCUAAUUCAAUUCCAGCCCUAUUUCAGAGCUGAAGGUUCAAACCUAAUGCAUAUACCUUUUUGAGCCAUAUGAGUUCCUAGCAAAAUAAAUCAUCCUCUAUUUUGAAAGCAGUCUACAAUACUUGUUUACCUCUGUCUCCUCAUCUAGCCAACACGCCCUAAAACGGUCUCUUAAAAUUCUUCCGGCUGGGGAAAGCCUGCAGUUCAAUCAAAUUUCUUGUCAGAAGCCUGGACCUGAAAUUCUAGCAUUAGAGAGACUGAGACCAGGUGUCGGGAUUGAGUGAUGUCAGCUAAAGGUGUUUAACACAUUAUCGUCUAACGCUUUGUUGGACCAGAGUUCCUUUCGCGUUUCUGCCCCUUUUCUUCUCCUUCUUUCCUUCUCCUUCUUCCUCUUGUAUGGCUUGCACUGUUAGGGAGUUGUUGGAUUUGUGGAUUAAGAAGAAGUGAUUCUAGAAAUAGGAAAAAGAGGGGCAGUAGGGUUAGCUGCAGCUACCUCUGUCUAGUUUUCAAGCUUUAGAAUUCCAGUGGGAGUUAGUCACAUACUCUCACGUCUUAAGUUAAAUUAUUUUUGAAUUUUUAAAAAUAUACAGAAGAUGGGGGAUUUUAGGAACAAAAUAGGUAACUACUGUUACUGGAUAUUAAUAACUUCUGGGGGGGGGCUAAACUCUUUAUAAGAAUAGUUCAGCGAGGACUCUGACUUGUUGCUCCCCUUUUAUGCGACAGAGAAAAAAUAAUUUCCUUCUUCUCUUAAAAUUCUUCUACUGGCAAAUUUAGGUGGUAAGAUAAGGAAUAUAAUUUUUUUGUGUGUGUGUGUUUUAGUCCUAUUACUGGUUAUUCCAGUUAUUCCACUCUCUGUGGUUUCACAAUCUGCGAAAUAUGGAAGUGAUGCAGAGAUAAGACAACAGGGAGGCCUGAUCCAGGGUAUAACCCACAGAAAAAUUCCUGAAUGCACUAAAUACGCUCUUCCAUUCCAGAAACAUUAGUGGAAACAGUGCAAGUAGAGAAUGGAAGAAUGUUUAUAUUUAUUCCUCUGAGCAGCUCAUAAGGUCCAGAGAAUUACAUAAUAUGGGACCAUUUAGACACCUUGAAGACCCACUGGGGACUUUUUCUUAACUGUUGCACAACAUCAGUCCAAUUCUGAGCACCAAAACAAACAAACAAACAAAAAAAAACAAAAACAAAACAAAACCAACAAACAAAACCAAAAAAAAUCAACAAAACAAAACACACAAAAAAACCUCACAAAAAAAACAAAUAAAAAAAAAAAACAAAAACAAAUUCUGAGCACAAACAAACAGAAAACCAAAUUCUGAGCACCACGACGUGAGGACUUGGAGAUCUUGGAGGGAGUUUAAGAGUCACAGUCAUUACUAAUGACCCUGACAAGUCGUAGAAAUGGGCAGAUAAUUACAGGAUGAGCUUCAUAGAUAGCGAUAUUGAGUAAUUUAGAGGAAGGGGAAAAAAAAAAACCACUGUGUACAUACAUGGGAGGAGGCUUGGCUUUGUGGGAAAAACGUGGGGAUCGGUAAAGCACCAGUGAAACAGAGGAGUUAGCCACACGCAGUACGGUUUAUGACUCUUUAUCAUUAAAAAAAUAAAACGGUUUGCGGAGCUCACGCUAGAACGCCGCAGGCAGGGCCGGGCGGCCCCGGGUCGGGUCGGGUCGGGUCGGUCGGGUCGGGUCGGGUCGGGUCCCGGCGUCCGCGGGGCUCGAACCCGCCGCCGCCGCGGGCUCCGCGAGGGGGGACGCUGGUCCUGCGUUCGGAGUCGCGAUCCGAGCCCGGCCCGGCCCCGUGCGAGCGAUCC